RNAcentral lists this long non-coding RNA (1190 nucleotides) under Homo sapiens (human). Its description in RNAcentral is "HSALNT0175885". The record is from RNAcentral. Lineage: Eukaryota; Metazoa; Chordata; Mammalia; Primates; Hominidae.
GCCUGAGAAGUGGUUUGAGCCUGACAUAUUUUCCUGAGCUAAAAAUUUAUUUUCCCCUUUUAAACUUCCCUGCUGCCCCAGUCUUUGCCUUCUUCUUAGUGGAUCCCUUGGGUUCUGGCUCCUUGCGCUUAGCUGAAGAGAGUGAGCCGGUCACCUUGAAGAAAUCAUCCAGGCGGCCCUGGGUGCUGCCUUGGCGGCUCUUACUCAGCCUCUUGACCCCACUGCGGAUUCGCUCCUCAGAGAACUGCUUUUCACCACACAUGAACUUGAUCAGCUCUUCUUCAUUUGGCUCGCUCCACUUCAGCUCCACAGACUCUGGGUCCAGCACCUCAGGUUCCAAGAAGAGCUGGUGAGCCUCCUUGUGGAGCCAAUUUUCUGGCACAGGGUACUUGUUGGGGUCAAGUCGCCGCACGAUCUCCUCGAUGCUCUUGUGCUUCUGGAUGAGGUCCACAGCCCGCUUGGGCCCAAUACCCCGGAUACUCUCACAGUAGUCACUGCCUAGCAGGAUGCACAGAUCCACAAACUGUUCCUGGUUCAGGCCCAGCUCCUGCAGAAUCCGGCUCAGGUGGAAUUCCUGGAUUGGCAGCUUUUUGGCUUCACUGGCAGUCAGGUGUCGCAUUAGCACAGGGCUGCCGAAGGUGAGGCAGUCCAUGUCCUCGGUAGCCGCAGCAUAGACUUUGCCAGCCUUCACCAGGGCAGCACAGCUGGCCUCUGCCUCACUGGGUGCAUCAAGAUAAGGGAUGCCCAUGAGGCUCAGCAGAUGUUUGCACUCAUCAUUGUGCUGCUUAGUGACCUUCACCAGCCGCUUAGUGAAUUUUUCCACCUCCUGCUCGGCCCCAGCAGCCUGAGCCUGCUGCAGCUGCUUCUCUGCCUCAGCCCGCCGCUCACUGCGUUUGGCCAGCUCGCCUGACUUGAGCUGUGGCGGCUUGCCAUCAAAGACAUACACGGGCUUGAUGCCGUUCUCCAUCAUGCGAAUGGUGCGGUAGAACAUGCCCAUCAGGUGGCUGGUGGUCUCACCCUCCUCAUUCUGCAGCACAUCCCCACCCUGGCGAACAGCAAUCAGGAACUGAUAAAUGCUCAUAGAGGCAUCAAUGGCCACCUUACGGCCAAAGUAGCUCUUGAUGUCAUUCUCCCGGAUGGCACUGGGGGCCACAUCAGCAAUUAGUUUGGCCAGGCCUUGAAUUCCCAUG